CAGUAGCCGCGGUAAUACAGAGGGUGCUAGCGUUAAUCGGAUUUACUGGGCGUAAAGCGUGCGUAGGCGGCUUCUUAAGUCGGAUGUGAAAUCCCUGAGCUUAACUUAGGAAUUGCAUUCGAUACUGGGAAGCUAGAGUAUGGGAGAGGAUGGUAGAAUUCCAGGUGUAGCGGUGAAAUGCGUAGAGAUCUGGAGGAAUACCGAUGGCGAAGGCAGCCAUCUGGCCUAAUACUGACGCUGAGGUACGAAAGCAUGGGGAGCAAACAGGAUUAGAUACCCGCGUAGUCCCUGUCUCUUAUAC
This 301-nucleotide ribosomal RNA is filed under the name uncultured bacterium. RNAcentral describes it as "partial 16S ribosomal RNA". It matches the Rfam family "Bacterial small subunit ribosomal RNA", at positions 509 to 807 of the family's 1533-position model. The record is from RNAcentral.